Non-coding RNA from Acanthosepion pharaonis, 115 nucleotides. Lineage: Eukaryota; Metazoa; Mollusca; Cephalopoda; Sepiida; Sepiidae. The record is from the annotation of a GenBank genome assembly.
UUACGGUCAAAUCACGCUGAAAACACCGGUUCUCGUUCGAUCACCGAAGUUAAGCAUCGUAGAGCCAGGUCAGUACUUAGAUGGGGACCGCUUGGGAAAUCACCUGGUACUGUAA